RNAcentral lists this ribosomal RNA (472 nucleotides) under Bacillus sp. enrichment culture clone A4e. Its description in RNAcentral is "bacterial SSU rRNA". It matches the Rfam family "Bacterial small subunit ribosomal RNA", at positions 77 to 536 of the family's 1533-position model. The record is from RNAcentral. Lineage: Bacteria; Bacillati; Bacillota; Bacilli; Caryophanales; Bacillaceae.
AACUUGCUUCUAUGCGUUACGGCGGACGGGUGAGUACACGUGGGCACCUGCCUGUAAGACUGGGAUAACUUCGGGAAACCGAAGCUAAUACCGGAUAGGAUCUUCUCCUUCAUGGGAGAUGAUUGAAAGAUGGUUUCGGCUAUCACUUACAGAUGGGCCCGCGGUGCAUUAGCUAGUUGGUGAGGUAACGGCUCACCAAGGCAACGAUGCAUAGCCGACCUGAGAGGGUGAUCGGCCACACUGGGACUGAGACACGGCCCAGACUCCUACGGGAGGCAGCAGUAGGGAAUCUUCCGCAAUGGACGAAAGUCUGACGGAGCAACGCCGCGUGAGUGAUGAAGGCUUUCGGGUCGUAAAACUCUGUUGUUAGGGAAGAACAAGUACGAGAGUAACUGCUCGUACCUUGGACGGUACCUAACCAGAAAGCCACGGCUAACUACGUGCCAGCAGCCGCGGUAAUACGUAGGUGGCA